UGGGGAAUAUUGCACAAUGGGGGAAACCCUGAUGCAGCGACGCCGCGUGAACGAAGAAGGUAUUCGUAUCGUAAAGUUCUGUCCUAUGGGAAGAUAAUGACAGUACCAUAGGAGAAAGCUCCGGCUAAAUACGUGCCAGCAGCCGCGGUAAUACGUAUGGAGCGAGCGUUGUCCGGAAUUAUUGGGCGUAAAGGGUACGUAGGCGGUUUAAUAAGUCGAAUGUUAAAGAUCGGGGCUCAACCCCGCAAAGCAUUGGGAACUGAUAAACUUGAGUAGUGGAGAGGAAAGUGGAAUUCCUAGUGUAGUGGUGAAAUACGUAGAUAUUAGGAGGAAUACCAGUAGCGAAGGCGACUUUCUGGACACAAACUGACGCUGAGGUACGAAAGCGUGGGGAGCAAACAGG
Molecule: ribosomal RNA, 403 nt
Filed under: bacterium
Lineage: Bacteria
Description: partial 16S ribosomal RNA
Rfam family: Bacterial small subunit ribosomal RNA
Source: RNAcentral